This 503-nucleotide ribosomal RNA is filed under the name uncultured bacterium. RNAcentral describes it as "bacterial SSU rRNA". It matches the Rfam family "Bacterial small subunit ribosomal RNA", at positions 28 to 526 of the family's 1533-position model. The record is from RNAcentral.
GACGAACGCUGGCGGCGCGCCUAACACAUGCAAGUCGAACGGAGCGCACGAGAAGAUCCCUUCGGGGUGAUUUUUGUGUUUGCUUAGUGGCGAACGGGUGAGUAACACGUGAGCAACCUACCCUCUGGCGGGGGACAACAUCUGGAAACGGAUGCUAAUACCGCAUAAGACCACGGUGCCGCAUGGCACUGAGGCCAAAGGAGCAAUUCACCAGAGGAUGGGCUCGCGCCUGAUUAGAUAGUUGGUGGGGUAACGGCCUACCAAGUCAACGAUCAGUAGCCGGACUGAGAGGUCGAUCGGCCACAUUGGGACUGAGACACGGCCCAGACUCCUACGGGAGGCAGCAGUGGGGAAUAUUGCACAAUGGGCGAAAGCCUGAUGCAGCGACGCCGCGUGAGGGAAGAAGGUUUUCGGAUUGUAAACCUCUGUCUUUGGGGACGAAGAAGUGACGGUACCCAAGGAGGAAGCCACGGCUAACUACGUGCCAGCAGCCGCGGUAACAC